Molecule: transfer RNA, 73 nt
Filed under: Candidatus Omnitrophota bacterium
Lineage: Bacteria; Pseudomonadati; Candidatus Omnitrophota
Description: Candidatus Omnitrophica bacterium (groundwater metagenome) tRNA-Lys
Rfam family: tRNA
About the family: Transfer RNA (tRNA) molecules are approximately 80 nucleotides in length. Their secondary structure includes four short double-helical elements and three loops (D, anti-codon, and T loops).
Source: RNAcentral
GCGCCCUUAGCUCAGUUGGUAGAGCAGCUGACUCUUAAUCAGCGGGUCGAAGGUUCGAAUCCUUCAGGGCGCA